Molecule: ribosomal RNA, 460 nt
Filed under: uncultured bacterium
Lineage: Bacteria
Description: partial 16S ribosomal RNA
Rfam family: Bacterial small subunit ribosomal RNA
Source: RNAcentral
CCUACGGGUGGCAGCAGUGAGGAAUAUUGGUCAAUGGGCGCGAGCCUGAACCAGCCAAGUAGCGUGAAGGAUGACUGCCCUACGGGUUGUAAACUUCUUUUGUAAAGGAAUAAAGUGAGGCACGUGUGCCUAUUUGUAUGUACUUUAUGAAUAAGGAUCGGCUAACUCCGUGCCAGCAGCCGCGGUAAUACGGAGGAUCCGAGCGUUAUCCGGAUUUAUUGGGUUUAAAGGGAGCGUAGAUGGGUUGUUAAGUCAGUUGUGAAAGGUUGCGGCUCAACCGGGAAAUUGCAAUUAAUACUGGUAGCCUAGAGUACAGUUGAGGUAGGCGGAAUUCGUGGUGUAGCGGUGAAAUGCUUAGAGAUCACGAAGAACUCCGAUUGCGAAGGCAGCUUACUAAACUGCAACUGACAUUGAUGCUCGAAAGUGUGGGUAGCAAACAGGAUUAGAUACCCCAGUAGUC